RNAcentral lists this ribosomal RNA (116 nucleotides) under Fusarium oxysporum f. sp. vasinfectum. RNAcentral's name for it is "partial 18S ribosomal RNA". Lineage: Eukaryota; Fungi; Ascomycota; Sordariomycetes; Hypocreales; Nectriaceae. The record is from RNAcentral.
AGGGAUCAUUACCGAGUUUACAACUCCCAAACCCCUGUGAACAUACCACUUGUUGCCUCGGCGGAUCAGCCCGCUCCCGGUAAAACGGGACGGCCCGCCAGAGGACCCCUAAACUC